This is a non-coding RNA of Danio rerio (zebrafish), 1406 nucleotides long. Lineage: Eukaryota; Metazoa; Chordata; Actinopteri; Cypriniformes; Danionidae. The record is from RefSeq and is a predicted model, not a curated record.
UUUUUCAUAGGGUUGGUGUGUUAACAUUAGAUUAACACUGAAAUAAUGUCAGCUGCAGCAUAUUGAUUUUAUAGCACCAAGUAAAACGUUCUGACACCUUUAUAGCAGUCAAUUACAUUAAAAAUAAAAAAACAAGAUACUAAUCAUACUACUUUAGCAUCGUUACUACUUUAGCAUCACCUAAAACUGGUUCGUUUACCCCUAGAGAGGGAGCAUACAACUGUUUCAAUUUUAAUAUGUGAAAAAAAAAAAAAAAGACGUUCUUCUUAUAUAACAUGGCCCUGGACGAAUCGGUGACUAGGGCCCUGGAAGGACUGAGGGCUUUGUCUAAUGAGAUGCAGGAACACUGAGGUAUUAAUAACCCCAUUGAUAAGUUGUUUACUGAUAUGUUUGGGAAUUAAAAGGGAGUAAUAAUAUUGAUUAUGCAUUCUCUGGAGAUAUUUUUGAGGAUGUUGGUUACUUUUGGUAGUUGUUGCAUACCAUGUUUUGGGUCAUUGUGUAACAGAAUGAUUGUUGCAGCAAUUAAGAAGAAAGAGGUUCCGCCUCCUUACAGUAUGCCACUGCUGGGAAUAAGAGAUGUUGACUCUAAGGAAGAAGAAGCAGAAGUGUGAUCUCUAAAGAGAUCAAGAGAGGGAAUUGAAGGAAUAAAAUUACAGUCUAAUGCUUCUUUUGAAUUAUAUACAUGUGGUCAUGCUUAUUUUGCAUAUGUAUAUGUGUUUGCUUGAACCAUGAUAAUCUAAUGAGUCCACGCAGUGAUAUGAUGAGACAUUUCUGUUGCAGCUGUGAUGUGUGACUUUUCUACACAAAAAAGAGAACUGGAGCAGAUGAGGAAAAUAUUGCUUUAUUGUCUUACUAAUCACUCUUUUCUUUAUAUUUAUUUUUGUUAUUGGAGGAAUAUACUCCCAUCUACCUCACUAUUCAUUAUUUACAAUAUGUGUUUUUGUCAGAUAUGAUGAUGUCUCCUGAUAUAGCGUACUUCUACUUAACCCCUGUUAUAAUGCGUUUCUAACUAACUGCUAAAACCACAAGAGCUGUGUGUGGGUGCUGGCUGGAGACAGAUCUGCAAGAGGGGCUUCCCCUAGAUGGGUGCAUACACAGGUCAAGAGUUCAUAGACAGGACUAUGAGGAAAAGCAGAUAGGUAUCUCUGUGUGCAGACCACAGACUUUUGAGAGAUGAUUCUGCCUGAAAACAGCUGAUGGCAACAAUAGAGAUUGGGGGUAACUGAUUAGAGGAGUGGCCAAAAAGAUUGAACGCUGCUGAUGGAUAAAAGGAGGGAGUCGAAAGAGUUCGAGAGCUUUUGGACAUCCAGACUGCUUGGCUGACGGUUCUUCAAAAGCCCAGGAUCCUGAUCUUCGCUUUAUUCACUUAUGCUCGAUAAAUAAAUUCAUUGAUUUUGAUUAAUUGA